GAUGAACGCUGGCGGUAUGCUUAACACAUGCAAGUCGAACGGUACCUUCGGGUAUAGUGGCGGACGGGUGAGUAACGCGUGAGAAUCUAUCUUCAGGUAGGGGACAACAGUUAGAAAUGACUGCUAAUACCGGAUGUGCCGAAAGGUAAAAGAUUUAUUGCCUGAAAAAGAGCUCGCGUCAGAUUAGCUAGUAGGUGGUGUAAGAGACUACCUAGGCUUCGAUCUGUAGCUGGUCUGAGAGGACGAUCAGCCACACUGGAACUGAGACACGGUCCAGACUCCUACGGGAGGCAGCAGUGGGGAAUUUUCCGCACUGGGCGAAAGCCUGACGGAGCAAUACCGCGUGAGGGACGCAGGCUCUUGGGUCGUAAACCUCUUUUCUCAAGGAAGAUUCAGACGGUACUUGAGGAAUAAGCAUCGGCUAACUCUGUG
This 432-nucleotide ribosomal RNA is filed under the name uncultured bacterium. Its description in RNAcentral is "partial 16S ribosomal RNA". It matches the Rfam family "Bacterial small subunit ribosomal RNA", at positions 28 to 507 of the family's 1533-position model. The record is from RNAcentral.